Molecule: ribosomal RNA, 550 nt
Filed under: uncultured bacterium
Lineage: Bacteria
Description: bacterial SSU rRNA
Rfam family: Bacterial small subunit ribosomal RNA
Source: RNAcentral
UAGGGAAUCUUCGGCAAUGGACGGAAGUCUGACCGAGCAACGCCGCGUGAGUGAAGAAGGUUUUCGGAUCGUAAAGCUCUGUUGUAAGAGAAGAACGGGUGUGAGAGUGGAAAGUUCACACUGUGACGGUAUCUUACCAGAAAGGGACGGCUAACUACGUGCCAGCAGCCGCGGUAAUACGUAGGUCCCGAGCGUUGUCCGGAUUUAUUGGGCGUAAAGCGAGCGCAGGCGGUUAGAUAAGUCUGAAGUUAAAGGCUGUGGCUUAACCAUAGUACGCUUUGGAAACUGUUUAACUUGAGUGCAAGAGGGGAGAGUGGAAUUCCAUGUGUAGCGGUGAAAUGCGUAGAUAUAUGGAGGAACACCGGUGGCGAAAGCGGCUCUCUGGCUUGUAACUGACGCUGAGGCUCGAAAGCGUGGGGAGCAAACAGGAUUAGAUACCCUGGUAGUCCACGCCGUAAACGAUGAGUGCUAGGUGUUAGACCCUUUCCGGGGUUUAGUGCUGCAGCUAACGCAUUAAGCACUCCGCCUGGGGAGUACGACCGCAAGGUUG